CCUACGGGCGGCAGCAGUGAGGAAUAUUGGUCAAUGGACGAGAGUCUGAACCAGCCAAGUAGCGUGAAGGAUGACUGCCCUAUGGGUUGUAAACUUCUUUUAUAUGGGAAUAAAAUGUUCCACGUGUGGGAUUUUGUAUGUACCAUAUGAAUAAGGAUCGGCUAACUCCGUGCCAGCAGCCGCGGUAAUACUGAGGAUCCGAGCGUUAUCCGGAUUUAUUGGGUUUAAAGGGAGCGUAGGUGGAUUGUUAAGUCAGUUGUGAAAUUUUGCGGCACAACCGUAAAAUUGCAGUUGAAACUGGCAGUCUUGAGUACAGUAGAGGUGGGCGGAAUUCGUGGUGUAGCGGUGAAAUGCUUAGAUAUCACGAAGAACUCCGAUUGCGAAGGCAGCUCACUGGACUGCAACUGACACUGAGGCUCGAAAGUGUGGGUAUCAAACAGGAUUAGAUACCCGGGUAGUC
Molecule: ribosomal RNA, 460 nt
Filed under: uncultured bacterium
Lineage: Bacteria
Description: partial 16S ribosomal RNA
Rfam family: Bacterial small subunit ribosomal RNA
Source: RNAcentral